Molecule: ribosomal RNA, 465 nt
Filed under: uncultured bacterium
Lineage: Bacteria
Description: partial 16S ribosomal RNA
Rfam family: Bacterial small subunit ribosomal RNA
Source: RNAcentral
CCUACGGGUGGCAGCAGUGGGGAAUUUUGCGCAAUGCUCGUAAGACUGACCCAGCGACGCCGCGUGAAUGACGAAGGCCUUCGGGUUGUAAAGUUCUUUUGACAGGGAAGAAAAUGCCUACAAGUAACUUGCUUUGUAUUGACGGUACCAGUAUAAGCAGCCCCGGCUAACGCCGUGCCAGCAGCCGCGGUAAUACGGAGGGGGCGGGCGUUGUUCGGAGGUACUGGUCGUAAAGAGCACGUAGGCGGUGUUGUAAGUCAGAAGUGAAAGCCUAGGGCUCAACGUUGGUAAGGCAGGUGAUACUAGAGUACUUGAGUAUCAGAGAGGAAUGCGGAAUUCCUGGUGUAGCGGUGAAAUGCGUAGAUAUCAGGAGGAAUACCGAUAGCGAAGGCGGCAGUCUGGCUGGAAACUGACGCUGAGGUGCGAAAGCGUGGGUAGCAAACAGGAUUAGAUACCCGUGUAGUC